RNAcentral lists this transfer RNA (78 nucleotides) under Sphingomonas alpina. RNAcentral's name for it is "tRNA-Leu". It matches the Rfam family "tRNA". Rfam says of the family: Transfer RNA (tRNA) molecules are approximately 80 nucleotides in length. Lineage: Bacteria; Pseudomonadati; Pseudomonadota; Alphaproteobacteria; Sphingomonadales; Sphingomonadaceae. The record is from RNAcentral.
GGACCUCUAGCCCAAUUGGCAGGAGGCGGAUGCCUUAGAAGCAUUACAGUCUCGGUUCGAAUCCGAGGGGGUCCACCA